GAAAAGAAAAGUGAGCACAACUGAUCAAUGCAUUUGGGCAAACGUGUGCAAUGUGUAACACCUGAGGACCUCUCACUUCCUGAAUGGGGGUGUUGUCAGUGCCAGAGGAGAGAACUGGGCAUUCAGAAGACGUUAGGAAGGGGAAAUGCACAGAUCUUGGCAACAGAUUGGAUAUGACGAGGUGAGAGAGUGUCAGACAUCUGGGAUGACCCCUAGCUUGCAAGCCUGGGUGAUCUGGGUGAUGUUGACAAUACUGGGCUGCCCUUAACAGUUAUAGGUUAAGUAGGAAGGAGGUACGUUUUUUUUUGGGGGGGGAAGGUAAGACAAUGAGUUCAGUGUUGGACUUGCUGAAUUCAAGAUAUCUACAGAAUAUCUGGUUGAAGAUGUCCAGUAGACAGUUGGAGAUGUGAGGCUGGCUGUAUGCAGAGAGGUUAGGACCGGAUAAUUGGAUUGUUGAAUCAUCAAGCUAGCCAAACUCCAACCCUUUUGUGGUGAAAGUCCUAUGCCUGCUCCUAGUAUGUGGUAAUAACAUAAAGUAGGAACUCCUUUUCUUCCAUGGCAGUUUUCCAGGUUUCACCUACUCCUCCUCAUAGCCAUUUACCUUCAUUGUUGUUAUUCAGUCAUUCAAUCUUGUCUGACUCUUUUUGACCCCUUCGACCACAACAUGCUAGGCCCUUCUUUCUUCCACUAUCUCCUGAAGUCUGUCCUAGUUCAUGUUCGUUGUUCGUGUGACACUACUUAUCCAUAUUAUCCCUCUACCAUUUCCUUUUGCCUUCUAUCUUUCCCAUUAUUAGGAUCUUUUCCAAUGCAUCCCAUUUUCUCAUGAUGUGACCACAGUCUUUAAGCUUCAGCAUUUGACCUUCCAGUGAAUGGACUGAAUUAAUUUCUUUUUUGGUUAGAUUUAUCUAGUUCUGAGAACAAAAUGUUGAGGUUCCCCACCACAAAAAAAC
Phascolarctos cinereus (koala) is the source of this 950-nucleotide non-coding RNA. The record is from RefSeq and is a predicted model, not a curated record. NCBI's taxonomy places the organism in Eukaryota, Metazoa, Chordata, Mammalia, Diprotodontia, Phascolarctidae.